UAGAGUUUGAUCAUGGCUCAGAACGAACGCUGGCGGCGUGCCUAACACAUGCAAGUCGAACGGAGUCAUUUUGAAGUAGCAAUACGGAUGGAUGGCUUAGUGGCGCACGGGUGAGUAACACGUAGGUAACCUGCCCUUAAGAGGGGGAAAACCCGCCGAAAGGCGAGCUAAUACCGCAUAAGACCACGAACUGAGAUGUUUGUGGUAAAAGGAGCAAUCCACUUAAGGAUGGGCCUGCGGCCUAUCAGGUAGUUGGUGAGGUAACGGCUCACCAAGCCUAAGACGGGUAGCCGGUCUGAGAGGACGGACGGCCACACUGGAACUGAGACACGGUCCAGACUCCUACGGGAGGCAGCAGUGGGGAAUUUUGCACAAUGGGCGAAAGCCUGAUGCAGCGACGCCGCGUGGAGGAUGAAGGCCUUCGGGUUGUAAACUCCUUUUGCAGGGGAAAAUAAUGAUGGUACCCUGCGAAUAAGCCACGGCUAACUCUGUGCCAGCAGCCGCGGUAAUAC
RNAcentral lists this ribosomal RNA (512 nucleotides) under uncultured Thermodesulfovibrio sp. Its description in RNAcentral is "bacterial SSU rRNA". It matches the Rfam family "Bacterial small subunit ribosomal RNA", at positions 1 to 526 of the family's 1533-position model. The record is from RNAcentral. Lineage: Bacteria; Pseudomonadati; Nitrospirota; Thermodesulfovibrionia; Thermodesulfovibrionales; Thermodesulfovibrionaceae.